Molecule: long non-coding RNA, 616 nt
Filed under: Micromonas commoda
Lineage: Eukaryota; Viridiplantae; Chlorophyta; Mamiellophyceae; Mamiellales; Mamiellaceae
Description: long non-coding RNA (MCOM_LNC000432)
Source: RNAcentral
GAUGCCGCGCGCGACGAGGUCGGUCGCGACGAGGAUGCGCUUGUUACCCUCCUUGAACGAUUUGUACCGCGCCAGGCGCUCCUCCUGCGACAUGCCGCGGUGGAUGGCGAUGGACGGAAAGUUGCACUCGGUGAGGAGCUUGUCGAGGUACGUGCAGCGCUGCACGGACUUGACGAAGAUGACCACCUGGUUGAACAUGAGCGCGUCGAGGAGGUCAUUGAGUUUGCGGUUCUUCUCCGCCUCGGUCAGCUUGAUGUAGUGCUGGACGAGGCCGUGGAGGGUGAGCUUGGUCUCGUCGUCGACGUAAAUCUCCAUAGGGUCGUUCAUAAACUUUUUGAUCACGGGGCGAAUCUCCUUGGACAGCGUGGCGGAGAACAUCAUGACCUGCUUGUCGUGCGGGGUCAUCUUGAAGAUCUCCUGGACGUCCGCGCGCAUGUCGAGCUGCUCGAGCAUCUUAUCGCACUCGUCGAGGAUGAAGUGGCCGCACUGCUUGAGGGAGAUGUCGCCGUCCUUGGCCAGCGCCUUGCAGCGGCCGGGGGUGGCGACGAUGAUGCUCGGGGGCUUCUCCUUGAGCUCCGCCUUCUGCUGCUUGAUGUUGACGCCGCCGAAGAUGACG